Selaginella moellendorffii is the source of this 434-nucleotide long non-coding RNA. RefSeq lists it as uncharacterized. The transcript is spliced from 2 exons. The record is from RefSeq and is a predicted model, not a curated record. NCBI's taxonomy places the organism in Eukaryota, Viridiplantae, Streptophyta, Lycopodiopsida, Selaginellales, Selaginellaceae.
UCUCUUUUCUUGCGAUGGACUUCACGACACGGAUUGAUGUCGAGGUCAGAGCAAGUAUUCUAGUUUUCUAAAAGCUUCUCAGGCUUCUUUGCUUUUCGUUUUCCGUGCUGCAGUUAUCAGGAGGGAAGACUAUGGCAACGGCACUCUCUUUUUUCUAUACUCAGAUCGUAACAUCAACGCUUUUUAAGCUAAUGUGAAUGGUUUGUGUUCACUUGGAAAGCAUAGUGACGGCGACCAAACAAGUUUUCUACAAUGGCAAUGCAAUUCCUUGACGUGCCCAGCAGUUCCACUUAAGAUGCUGACCAACUGAAUUAGUCCUCGUUUCAUGGCAGGGAAUCAAUUCUGGCUGGUAAAUCAUGGCAUUUUAACUUGUGGCAUUUUUGCAGAUAUACUGUUUUGGCAAGACCAAACCAAGAAUUUGUCUGAGAAAAAAG